CAGGGUGUGGCUGAGCUAACUAAGCAUCUCACUUACACCGAGAAGACACCCAUGAAAGUUGGGUCACCCUGA
This 72-nucleotide transfer RNA is filed under the name Puntigrus partipentazona. RNAcentral's name for it is "tRNA-Val". Lineage: Eukaryota; Metazoa; Chordata; Actinopteri; Cypriniformes; Cyprinidae. The record is from RNAcentral. RNAcentral also lists the same sequence under 1 other name.